RNAcentral lists this ribosomal RNA (484 nucleotides) under uncultured bacterium. Its description in RNAcentral is "bacterial SSU rRNA". It matches the Rfam family "Bacterial small subunit ribosomal RNA", at positions 9 to 497 of the family's 1533-position model. The record is from RNAcentral.
GAGUUUGAUCAUGGCUCAGGAUGAACGCUAGCGGCAGGCUUAACACAUGCAAGUCGAGGGGUAUUCUAGCAAUAGGAGAGACCGGCGCACGGGUGCGUAACGCGUAUGCAAUCUGCCUUUCACAGAGGGAUAGCCCAGAGAAAUUUGGAUUAAUACCUCAUAGUAUAAUGACUCGGCAUCGAGAUAUUAUUAAAGUCACAACGGUGAAAGAUGAGCAUGCGUCCCAUUAGCUAGUUGGUAAGGUAACGGCUUACCAAGGCGACGAUGGGUAGGGGUCCUGAGAGGGAGAUCCCCCACACUGGUACUGAGACACGGACCAGACCCCUACGGGAGGCAGCAGGAGGAAUAUUGGACAAUGGGCGCAAGCCUGAUCCAGCCAUGCCGCGUGCAGGAUGACGGUCCUAUGGAUUGUAAACUGCUUUUGCACAGGAAGAAACACCCCCUCGUGAGGGGGCUUGACGGUACUGUGAGAAUUAGGAUCGGC